Molecule: unclassified non-coding RNA, 333 nt
Filed under: Hevea brasiliensis (rubber tree)
Lineage: Eukaryota; Viridiplantae; Streptophyta; Magnoliopsida; Malpighiales; Euphorbiaceae
Source: RNAcentral
CCAGGGUACACAGCUGAAUUUAUGUUCACCUCAGGUUGCUUUGGAGGUGGUUUUUGAACAGUUGAGAAACGAGUGCUGAUAAAUGAAGAGAUUAUUCCAGAUUUCUGGCCCAUGGCAGGGGAACCAUCCCAGUCAAUCUUUCUUAGAGUUGCUGCACCAAUAACUUUCGAAAAAUGUAGCCGUAAAAAUAAAACUUUUUUAAACCCAGAAUCCCCAACUUCAAAAUGAGCUCCUGUGACAAUUGCAAGAUCCUCUUCACUCUCAACAGGGGCUGUACAAAUAUGCGAGAAACUCUUCCACUGAACCUUCUCAUAGUACCUGCGUUCAGAGGAG